AGUGAUUUAGCUCAGUGGCAUAAGCGCCUGCCUUGCAAGCAGGCAGCUGUGAGUUCAAUCCCCCAUACCAAUUA
Non-coding RNA from Cavia porcellus (domestic guinea pig), 74 nucleotides. NCBI's taxonomy places the organism in Eukaryota, Metazoa, Chordata, Mammalia, Rodentia, Caviidae. The record is from Rfam.